RNAcentral lists this ribosomal RNA (253 nucleotides) under uncultured bacterium. RNAcentral's name for it is "partial 16S ribosomal RNA". It matches the Rfam family "Bacterial small subunit ribosomal RNA", at positions 524 to 776 of the family's 1533-position model. The record is from RNAcentral.
UACAGAGGGUGCGAGCGUUGUCCGGAAUCACUGGGCGUAAAGGGCGCGUAGGUGGCGCUCCAAGUCUGUGGUGAAAGCUCGACGCUCAACGUCGAGUCGGCCAUAGAGACUGGAGGGCUCGAGCACUGUAGGGGCAGAUGGAAUUCCGGGUGUAGCGGUGGAAUGCGUAGAGAUCCGGAAGAACACCGGUGGCGAAGGCGGUCUGCUGGGCAGUUGCUGACACUGAGGCGCGGCAGCGUGGGGAGCAAACAGG